This 439-nucleotide ribosomal RNA is filed under the name uncultured bacterium. Its description in RNAcentral is "bacterial SSU rRNA". It matches the Rfam family "Bacterial small subunit ribosomal RNA", at positions 958 to 1398 of the family's 1533-position model. The record is from RNAcentral.
AACGCGAAGAACCUUACCGAGGCUUGACAUCCCUUGACACCCGUAGAAAUACGGUCUCCGUAGAAAUACGGCAAGGAGACAGGUGCUGCAUGGCUGUCGUCAGCUCGUGCCGUGAGGUGUUGGGUUAAGUCCCGCAACGAGCGCAACCCUCGUCGUGUGUUGGUCCGCAAGGAUCUCUCACGCGAGACCGCCGAUGAGAAGUCGGAGGAAGGUGGGGAUGACGUCAAGUCAGCAUGGCCCUUACGUCUCGGGCUACACACGUGCUACAAUGGGUGCGACAACGAGUUCCAAGCUCGCGAGGGUUAGGCAAUCUCUUAAACGCAUCCUCAGUUCGGAUUGAAGGCUGCAACUCGCCUUCAUGAAGUCGGAAUCGCUAGUAAACGCAGAUCAGCUACGCUGCGUUGAAUACGUUCCCGGGCCUUGUACACACCGAGACGAC